GAAUUCGGCUUAGAGUUUGAUCCUGGCUCAGAUUGAACGCUGGCGGCAUGCCUUACACAUGCAAGUCGAACGGCAGCACGGAGCUUGCUCUGGUGGCGAGUGGCGAACGGGUGAGUAAUAUAUCGGAACGUACCCUAGAGUGGGGGAUAACGUAGCGAAAGUUACGCUAAUACCGCAUACGAUCUAAGGAUGAAAGUGGGGGAUCGCAAGACCUCAUGCUCGUGGAGCGGCCGAUAUCUGAUUAGCUAGUUGGUAGGGUAAAAGCCUACCAAGGCAUCGAUCAGUAGCUGGUCUGAGAGGACGACCAGCCACACUGGAACUGAGACACGGUCCAGACUCCUACGGGAGGCAGCAGUGGGGAAUUUUGGACAAUGGGCGAAAGCCUGAUCCAGCAAUGCCGCGUGAGUGAAGAAGGCCUUCGGGUUGUAAAGCUCUUUUGUCAGGGAAGAAACGGUGAAAGCUAAUAUCUUUUGCUAAUGAC
This 481-nucleotide ribosomal RNA is filed under the name uncultured soil bacterium. RNAcentral's name for it is "bacterial SSU rRNA". It matches the Rfam family "Bacterial small subunit ribosomal RNA", at positions 1 to 473 of the family's 1533-position model. The record is from RNAcentral.